UAAUCUUGCGACCGUACUUCCCAGGCGGCAUAUUUAACGCGUUAGCUCCGGCGCGGACGCGGUCGAUUGCGCCCACACCAAAUAUGCACCGUUUACUGCCAGGACUACCGGGGUAUCUAAUCCCGUUUGCUCCCCUGGCCUUCGUGCCUCAGUGUCAGUAACUGCCCAGUGACCUGCCUUCGCCGUUGGUAUUCCUCUCGAUAUCUACGCAUUUCACUGCUACACCGAGAAUUCUAGUCACCUCUUCAGUACUCUAGCAUGGUAGUAUCGGAUGCAAUUCCGAGGUUGAGCCCCGGGCUUUCACAUCUGACUUUCCACGCCACCUACGCACCCUUUACGCCCAGUGAUUCCGAACAACGCUUGAGACCUCUGUAUUACCGCGGCUGCUGGCACAGAGUUAGCCGUCUCUUCCUCUUGUGUUACCAUCAAUUUGCCAUGCUAUUAACACGACAACCUCGUUCACACAUGACAGGAGUUUACAAUCCGAAGACCUUAUCCUCCACGCGGCGUCGCUCCAUCAGGGUUGCCCCCAUUGUGAAAGAUUCUCGA
This 549-nucleotide ribosomal RNA is filed under the name uncultured bacterium. Its description in RNAcentral is "partial 16S ribosomal RNA". The record is from RNAcentral.